RNAcentral lists this ribosomal RNA (478 nucleotides) under uncultured bacterium. RNAcentral describes it as "partial 16S ribosomal RNA". It matches the Rfam family "Bacterial small subunit ribosomal RNA", at positions 28 to 523 of the family's 1533-position model. The record is from RNAcentral.
GACGAACGCUGGCGGCGUGCUUAACACAUGCAAGUCGAACGAUAAGGCCCUUCGGGGUACACGAGUGGCGAACGGGUGAGUAACACGUGGGUGAUCUGCCCUGCACUUCGGGAUAAGCCUGGGAAACUGGGUCUAAUACCGGAUAGGACCCUGGGAUGCAUGUCCUGGGGUGGAAAGCUUUUGCGGUGUGGGAUGGGCCCGCGGCCUAUCAGCUUGUUGGUGGGGUGAUGGCCUACCAAGGCGGAGACGGGUAGCCGGCCUGAGAGGGUGACCGGCCACACUGGGACUGAGAUACGGCCCAGACUCCUACGGGAGGCAGCAGUGGGGAAUAUUGCACAAUGGGCGCAAGCCUGAUGCAGCGACGCCGCGUGAGGGAUGACGGCCUUCGGGUUGUAAGCCUCUUUCAGCACCGACGAAGCGCAAGUGACGGUAGGUGCAGAAGAAGGACCGGCCAACUACGUGCCAGCCGCCGCCGUAA